This 391-nucleotide ribosomal RNA is filed under the name uncultured Lactobacillus sp. Its description in RNAcentral is "bacterial SSU rRNA". It matches the Rfam family "Bacterial small subunit ribosomal RNA", at positions 152 to 529 of the family's 1533-position model. The record is from RNAcentral. Lineage: Bacteria; Bacillati; Bacillota; Bacilli; Lactobacillales; Lactobacillaceae.
GGAAACAGGUGCUAAUACCGCAUAACCAUGAACACCGCAUGAUGUUCAUGUGAAAGACGGCUUUUGCUGUCACUUUUGGAUGGGCCUGCGGCGUAUUAACUUGUUGGUGGGGUAACGGCCUACCAAGGUGAUGAUACGUAGCCGAACUGAGAGGUUGAUCGGCCACAUUGGGACUGAGACACGGCCCAAACUCCUACGGGAGGCAGCAGUAGGGAAUCUUCCACAAUGGACGAAAGUCUGAUGGAGCAACGCCGCGUGAAUGAAGAAGGCCUUCGGGUCGUAAAAUUCUGUUGUCAGAGAAGAACGUGCGUGAGAGUAACUGUUCACGUAUUGACGGUAUCUGACCAGAAAGCCACGGCUAACUACGUGCCAGCAGCCGCGGUAAUACAAU